GGCGACGUAGCUCAGCUGGUCAGAGCAUGCGGCUCAUAUCCGCAGAGUCCGGGGUUCAAGUCCCUGCGUCGCUACCA
Molecule: transfer RNA, 77 nt
Filed under: Desulfotignum sp.
Lineage: Bacteria; Pseudomonadati; Thermodesulfobacteriota; Desulfobacteria; Desulfobacterales; Desulfobacteraceae
Also listed under: 1 other name
Description: tRNA-Met
Rfam family: tRNA
About the family: Transfer RNA (tRNA) molecules are approximately 80 nucleotides in length. Their secondary structure includes four short double-helical elements and three loops (D, anti-codon, and T loops).
Source: RNAcentral